RNAcentral lists this ribosomal RNA (440 nucleotides) under uncultured bacterium. RNAcentral's name for it is "partial 16S ribosomal RNA". It matches the Rfam family "Bacterial small subunit ribosomal RNA", at positions 338 to 795 of the family's 1533-position model. The record is from RNAcentral.
CCUACGGGUGGCAGCAGUAGGGAAUAUUGCUCAAUGGGGGAAACCCUGAAGCAGCAACGCCGCGUGGAGGAUGAAGGUUUUAGGAUUGUAAACUCCUUUUGUUAGAGAAGAUUAUGACGGUAUCUAACGAAUAAGCACCGGCUAACUCCGUGCCAGCAGCCGCGGUAAUACGGAGGGUGCCAGCGUUACUCGGAAUCACUGGGCGUAAAGCGUGCGUAGGCGGGGUAAUAAGUCAGAUGUGAAAUCCUGUGGCUUAACUACAGAACUGCAUUUGAAACUGUUACUCUGGAGUGUGGGAGAGGUAGGUGGAAUGCUUGGUGUAGGGGUGAAAUCCGUAGAGAUCAAGAGGAAUACUCAUUGCGAAGGCGACCUGCUGGAACAUUACUGACGCUGAUGCACGAAAGCGUGGGGAGCAAACAGGAUUAGAUACCCGAGUAGUC